Molecule: long non-coding RNA, 3279 nt
Organism: Lathyrus oleraceus (garden pea)
Lineage: Eukaryota; Viridiplantae; Streptophyta; Magnoliopsida; Fabales; Fabaceae
Exons: 3
Source: RefSeq, a predicted model, not a curated record
UUUCAUAUUCUCUCUUUUCCCCUUUUCCCCCUCAAACCCUAGCAUCAUCGCUGCCCCUUUCUCCACCAUAUCCAUGACCACCACCACCUCCAAUGGAAAACCAAAGCUAUUUUCGUACUCCUCGUCUCACUACCUUCCUAAUAGAUUGGUUGGAUUUUUAUUUCGACCAACAACUAUUUCUCCUAUCCGACCGUCACAAAUCCAAACGGAAACGCAGAAACUCAUCACCAUGCCAACCUUCGUCUCUAAUUCUAUAGUAACAACAAAAACCAUAAAAGUAUGUUCUGUUUUGUUUUGAUUUUUUCCUUUUAUGUAUUUUAUAAUAUGAACUAUUACCUUUGGGCCAUGUUUGGAUACAGUAAAAUGAACGAAGCAGAAUGGAAUGGAGCAGAGUGGAGCGGGGUGGAAUGGAAUAAAGAUACCAUUCCAUUGUUUGGGUGUUUCAUGGCGGAAAAGAGCAAUUUUAUCAUUGUGUCCAAAUUGGAGGGUACAAAAAGUGAUGGAAUGGGAUGGAAUGUAUUCCAUCCGGUUCUGCAUCAUUCCAUCCAUUUUUAAUUAAUCCAAACAACGAAAUUUAAGUUUAUUUCAUUCCAUCAAUCCAAACAUACCCUUGAUGUUGCUUUUGAGUUAGAUCUUAAAAUAUGUUGACAGAAUCACAAAGGAGAUGCUGGUAUUUAUUUUCCCUUUUACGAUUUGCAUUAUUGUUUUGUUUACAAUAGGGUCUGAUAUGCAUUAUUUUGUCUUAUAUCUUACGCAAGAAUGUACUAGACAGUGAAGAGAAAUUUAGGUCAGACUUGAUGAACAUUGCAAGGACUUCCAUCACUUAUUUUUAUGGUUUUCAUCUCUCAUGAAAGUACAUCCAAGAUUUCUAUUUGUUAUAUUUUGGUUCUAAUUCUAAACCUCUUUAUUGCUUUCAAUUGUGCUACAAUACACCAUUAUAGUGGUUUAUAGUUAUUAAAAGUUUAGCAUUUUGGUUGUCAAUCUUUUUAUGUUUUUGCCUUGCCUUAGCUGUUAGCGCUCCUGGUUUUGACAUGAGAGAAACUUCUCUUAUUGCUUCCUCAUAAGUUUGAGAUUAAUUAUCUCUAAAUUAUUGAAGUAGGUUAAAAUCGAAAUCUACAAAAAUGCAACUUACAUUUGUGUAGAUGUUUGACUGUCAAAGCAUAAUAUGUAUCACAACAUUCUUGAAGCAAAUUGUUUUGGCCAAUUUAUAUCAUUAUUGAAAGUUCUCAAUCUGACAAUUGAUAAGAAAAUUAUGUUGCUAAAAUGUCUGACAAAAUGUAUUUUCAUUAAACUAUAGUCUGAAUCAAAUACCAUUAUCAUCUUUGGUUUAAUUAACUAAAGAAAUAAAGAGUAGUUGAGUUGUUUUAUCGAGAUUUGGUUAACUCUUGAAUAGCCAAGCUUGUGAGUACUUGUGAUUAAUUUUGUAAGUUCUCACAGGUGUGGAUAAAUAGAUAGGAGUACACAAAAGUUGUGUCUGUUUCAAUUUUGCAGAGGAGUUCACAUAAAUUGUAUAUUUGUUUCAUUAGUUUAUUUCAUCGAUGACUUCUGUUGCAGCCUCUGAGUAGAUUGGUACUUUCUAAGGAGUACUUGAUAAUGCCUUGAUGGAUUUAGCAUGGAUGGAGUAUUUGAGUUAACAGUGAAAUCAAAAUCAAAUUAAAAUAACUGAAUUGAAGGGAUAAGUGUGGACAUUAAGUUUUUAUUUUUUAGUGGUUAAAAUUCAAAUAAAAAAUGAUGAUCAUAAAAUAGCCUUUUCUUGCAUUUAUGUGAUCUAAAUGUUCUUAAUACUCUUGCAUUUAUGUGAUUUGGAUUUUCAUAAUAAUAAUUUUUAAUACUUUUGAUUAUCUUGUCUCUCAAUUCAAACCUGCAAUUUAGUGAAUCCAAUUGAUAUAUGUAGACUUUUUAACCUUUUUUUCAUCAAUUUUGAUGUGUGCACUGCAGAGUAGCAGAUGUAGUAUUUGUGUUCACGAGUAUACUAUUUCCUAACCAUACGAAUUUUCUUCUCUUAGUUAAAUUUGUCACCAUAUGGUUCCAAUGAAUGAUGAAAAGUUUGAAUUAUGUAGGUAUGCGACAUAUUAUGGCAUGCUUAAUUUUUGUAUAACAAACAAUGGGCACGACUGGAGAGAAGGAUCAAAAUAAUACAAAGUCAGUGAGGAUUGUCUUGCAACUGUAGAUCAAAAGCAACAAUUAUGGUUAAUCUUCCCAACAUAUUUCCCCAUUGGUUAAUCUUCUUACUUUUGGUAUGCCAUGGAAUGCUCAUUUGAAAAGUCCACGGGAAGAGGAAGUUAGCAAGGGCUUUGGCAUAGGUAAAAAAGAGACAUUGCAUUUAAUGGUCAUGUCCAUACCUAUGAAAGAGUGUGCCUCGUUUAUCAGAACCAGUAUGUGAAUAAGGAAAAAUAUCUUUGUCAAACAUAGUAGAAGGAAGUAUUUAUGAUAUGUUGGCCAAACAUAUUUGUUUUCUUUGAAAUGAAUUGGAUAAUGACUGGAAAAAUUGAAGAUGAAUGUGAUUUCCAAAAUAUUAGAUCAUCCAUCAACACUCUCGAUUAUGUUGGAGAAUGUGGAGUUCCUACAAAAACCAUGUACUAUUUUCCUUCUGAGAGAAUAGCCAAAUUCUGGUAUACAACGUAUUAUGAAAUGUUUAGUUUAUGCAUAACAAACAACAUACAUGAUUGGAGAGAAAAUCAAGACAAUACAAAUUCCUUAAGAAUUGUCUUGCAAUGGUAGAUUGAAAACAAAAACCAUGGUUAAUCUUCACAGCACAUUGCCCCCUUGGUUAAUCUUCUAAAUCUUGUAUAUCAUAGAAGGCUCAUUUGAAGAACCCAUGGGAAGGGAAAUUUUACAAGGUCUUUGGCAUAAAUACAAAGUAGACAUUGCAUUUUAUAGUCAUGUCCAUAACUAUGAAAGAGUAUGCACCAUUAUCAUGUAUAAUACUGUUGUCAUAUUCAUGUUGGACCUGAAACCUAAAGAGGCAUAUAUGCUUGCCCUCAAAUAGAAGUGCAACAACUACAACCGCGAGAUCAGUUGCUUUAUGCACAAAAUGAAAAAGUGAAGGUAGGAUUCUGAUCCAAUUUACCACAUAAGAAUUUAAAUUGUUUAUGUUCAUCAAAUAAUUUGGUUCAUAGUUGAAGUGUUCAAGGAUUUCAGAUUUAAUACUUAGAUUAUAGACCAAAUUUUCUCAAUGAGUUUUGUUGUGCACAAAAGUGAAUUAAAAUUGGUUUCUUCGUUAUUUGAAACCUAAAUAGUAUUUGGUUUAUCUCAUAAUGUUGCAGUUUUGUGAUUAAA